RNAcentral lists this ribosomal RNA (248 nucleotides) under uncultured Oscillospiraceae bacterium. RNAcentral's name for it is "partial 16S ribosomal RNA". It matches the Rfam family "Bacterial small subunit ribosomal RNA", at positions 524 to 771 of the family's 1533-position model. Lineage: Bacteria; Bacillati; Bacillota; Clostridia; Eubacteriales; Oscillospiraceae. The record is from RNAcentral.
UACGUAGGUGGCAAGCGUUAUCCGGAUUUACUGGGUGUAAAGGGCGUGUAGGCGGGAUGGUAAGUCAGAUGUGAAAACUAUGGGCUCAACCCAUAGCCUGCAUUUGAAACUAUCGUUCUUGAGUGUUGGAGAGGCAGGCGGAAUUCCGUGUGUAGCGGUGAAAUGCGUAGAUAUACGGAGGAACACCAGUGGCGAAGGCGGAUUGCUGGACAGUAACUGACGCUGAGGCGCGAAAGCGUGGGGAGCAA